GGCCUCUCUCCCAUGGUGCUGUGGGGUUCCCUUCUCCUCAGCCAGAGCUGGGGGCCAAGAUUAGCCUUUGAGGGUUAUCGUCAGGGCUAGUUGGAGCUGGACAGCCUUGUUUUCCUACCUCAGACACUU
This is a non-coding RNA of Sciurus vulgaris (Eurasian red squirrel), 129 nucleotides long. The record is from Ensembl. NCBI's taxonomy places the organism in Eukaryota, Metazoa, Chordata, Mammalia, Rodentia, Sciuridae.